RNAcentral lists this ribosomal RNA (1150 nucleotides) under Latilactobacillus sakei. Its description in RNAcentral is "bacterial SSU rRNA". It matches the Rfam family "Bacterial small subunit ribosomal RNA", at positions 173 to 1307 of the family's 1533-position model. Lineage: Bacteria; Bacillati; Bacillota; Bacilli; Lactobacillales; Lactobacillaceae. The record is from RNAcentral.
AAACCCUAAACCCCGCCUGGGUUAGGGUUGAAAGAAGGUUUCGGCUUUCAAUUAAGGAAGGACCCGGGGUGCCUUAGUUAGUUGGUGAGGUAAAAGCUUCACCAAGACCUUGAUGCAUAGCCGACCUGAAAGGGUUAUUGGCCCAAAUUGGGACUGAGACACGGCCCCAGAUUCCUACGGGAGGCAGCAGUAGGGAAUCUUCCAACAAUGGACGAAAGUUUGAUGGAGCAACGCCGCCUGAGUGAAGAAGGUUUUCGGAUCGUAAAACUCUGUUGUUGGAGAAGAAUGUAUCUGAUAGUAACUGAUCAGGUAGUGACGGUAUCCAACCAGAAAGCCAGGGCUAAUUACGUGCCAGCAGCCGCGGUAAUACGUAGGUGGCAAGCGUUGUCCGGAUUUAUUGGGCGUAAAGCGAGCGCCGGCGGUUUCUUAAGUCUGAUGUGAAAGCCUUCGGCUCAACCGAAGAAGUGCAUCGGAAACUGGGAAACUUGAGUGCAGAAGAGGACAGUGGAACUCCAUGUGUAGCGGUGAAAUGCGUAGAUAUAUGGAAGAACACCAGUGGCGAAGGCGGCUGUCUGGUCUGUAACUGACGCUGAGGCUCGAAAGCAUGGGUAGCAAACAGGAUUAGAUACCCUGGUAGUCCAUGCCGUAAACGAUGAGUGCUAGGUGUUGGAGGGUUUCCGCCCUUCAGUGCCGCAGCUAACGCAUUAAGCACUCCGCCUGGGGAGUACGACCGCAAGGUUGAAACUCAAAGGAAUUGACGGGGGCCCGCACAAGCGGUGGAGCAUGUGGUUUAAUUCGAAGCAACGCGAAGAACCUUACCAGGUCUUGACAUCCUUUGACCACUCUAGAGAUAGAGCUUUCCCUUCGGGGACAAAGUGACAGGUGGUGCAUGGUUGUCGUCAGCUCGUGUCGUGAGAUGUUGGGUUAAGUCCCGCAACGAGCGCAACCCUUAUUACUAGUUGCCAGCAUUAAGUUGGGCACUCUAGUGAGACUGCCGGUGACAAACCGGAGGAAGGUGGGGACGACGUCAAAUCAUCAUGCCCCUUAUGACCUGGGCUACACACGUGCUACAAUGGAUGGUACAACGAGUUGCGAGACCGCGAGGUUUAGCUAAUCUCUUAAAACCAUUCUCAGUUCGGAUUGUAGGCUG